Molecule: long non-coding RNA, 105 nt
Organism: Cucurbita maxima (winter squash)
Lineage: Eukaryota; Viridiplantae; Streptophyta; Magnoliopsida; Cucurbitales; Cucurbitaceae
Exons: 3
Source: RefSeq, a predicted model, not a curated record
AGACAUUAAUGAGAAAAAGGUACAUUCCUAAGCAUUAUUCUCGAGUACUCAGGAUCCAAAAGUGUUGAAGAAUAUUACAAAGAAAUGGAGGCCCUUCUGAAUAGA